GCGGGAAUAGCUCCAGUUUAGAGUACGCACCUUGCCAAGGUCGGGGUCGCGAGUUCGAGUCUCGUUUCCCGCC
RNAcentral lists this transfer RNA (73 nucleotides) under Providencia rettgeri. RNAcentral describes it as "tRNA-Gly". It matches the Rfam family "tRNA". Rfam says of the family: Transfer RNA (tRNA) molecules are approximately 80 nucleotides in length. Their secondary structure includes four short double-helical elements and three loops (D, anti-codon, and T loops). Further hydrogen bonds mediate the characteristic L-shaped molecular structure. tRNAs have two regions of fundamental functional importance: the anti-codon, which is responsible for specific mRNA codon recognition, and the 3' end, to which the tRNAs corresponding amino acid is attached (by aminoacyl-tRNA synthetases). tRNAs cope with the degeneracy of the genetic code in two manners: having more than one tRNA (with a specific anti-codon) for a particular amino acid; and 'wobble' base-pairing, i.e. permitting non-standard base-pairing at the 3rd anti-codon position. Lineage: Bacteria; Pseudomonadati; Pseudomonadota; Gammaproteobacteria; Enterobacterales; Morganellaceae. The record is from RNAcentral.